CUCACUAUCCCUUCCACCCCCCAAUCUCUCCCUGUCUUCACCAUGUUCUGCCUGGCUUCCCACAGCCCCUGUUUAAAGAGACUCAUGAGAAGCCAGAGCAGAAACCUGUCCCUAUCCAUCCCUCUCGCUCUCCCUACACCUCUCUCUAACCUGGCCCACGUCAAUACAAAAUCCCCCCUUACCAAACCUAACAACACCCGUGCCCUAGCCCACAGUCUCCUCCCUGCCACAAGAGAAUCUUGGACAGGUGGGGGAUUGCACAAAACUAUACCGGUACAUGAUGGAACGUACCGGCAAGCACUUAUGGAGGCUCAACCAAUUCAGGUGCUUGAGCCUGUUGUCCAGACCCCGCACCUGCACUCCCUCCCAGACUCUUUACCACUGCGAUACGCAUGUUCCAAUUUAACGUCGCUGAGCCGGAGGUCUCAAAAUGGACCCCGAGAAUCCUCAGGGCCCCCUCACAGAGAGAUAACCCCCCGGGCACAUCCGUUCUACCGCACCAUCUUCCGCAAAACUUGACGGAAGACUUUGCAUGUUUCAGAACUGCUCCCGACGCUCGGGUGAAAUCCCCAAAGAUGGCAAGGGACCUUGUCAGGCACGAGUCCUUGCACAGCAGCAAGGAAGUGUCAUCGGCGUACUGCGUCAUCUUAACACGCAGCCCACCACUUCCAGAGAUCAACAAGCCUUCCACCCCUGUGUCAAAUCAAAUCAAAUUUAUUUAUAUAGCCCUUCGUACAUCAGCUGAUAUCUCAAAGUGCUGUACAGAAACCCUGCCUAAAACCCCAAACAGCAAGCAAUGCAGGUGUAGAAGCACGGUGGCUAGGAAAAACUCCCUAGAAAGGCCAAAACCUAGGAAGAAACCUAGAGAGGAACCAGGCUAUGUGGGGUGGCCAGUCCUCUUCUGGCUGUGCCGGGUGGAGAUUAUAACAGAACAUGGCCAAGAUGUUCAAAUGUUCAUAAAUGACCAGCAUGGUCGAAUAAUAAUAAGGCAGAACAGUUGAAACUGGAGCAGCAGCACAGUCAGGUGGAAGUUGAAACUGGAGCAGCAGCAUGGCCAGGUGGACUGGGGACAGCAAGGAGUCAUCAUGUCAGGUAGUCCUGGGGCAUGGUCCUAGGGCUCAGGUCAGUUGAAACUGGAACAGCAGCAUGGCCAGGUGGACUGGGGACAGCAAGGAGUCAUCAUGUCAGGUAGUCCUGGGGCAUGGUCCUAGGGCUCAGGUCCUCCGAGAGAGAGAAAGAAAGAGAGAAGGAGAGAAUUAGAGAACGCACACUUAGAUUCACACAGGACACCGAAUAGGACAGGAGAAGUACUCCAGAUAUAACAAACUGACCCCAGCCCCCCGACACAUAAACUACUGCAGCAUAAAUACUGGAGGCUGAGACAGGAGGGGUCAGGAGACACUGUGGCCCCAUCCGAGGACACUCCCGGACAGGGCCAAACAGGAAGGAUAUAACCCCACCCACUUUGCCAAAGCACAGCCCCCACACCACUAGAGGGAUAUCUUCAACCACCAACUUACCAUCCUGAGACAAGGCUGAGUAUAGCCCACAAAGAUCUCCGCCACGGCACAACCCAAGGGGGGGGCGCCAACCCAGACAGGAUGACCACAACAGUGAAUCAACCCACUCAGGUGACGCACCCCCUCCAGGGACGGCAUGAGAGAGCCCCAGUAAGCCAGUGACCCAGCCCCUGUAAUAGGGUUAGAGGCAGAGAAUCCCAGUGGAAAGAGGGGAACCGGCCAGGCAGAGACAGCAAGGGCGGUUCGUUGCUCCAGAGCCUUUCCGUUCACCUUCCCACUCCUGGGCCAGACUACACUCAAUCAUAUGACCCACUGAAGAGAUGAGUCUUCAGUAAAGACUUAAAGGUUGAGACC
Molecule: long non-coding RNA, 1874 nt
Organism: Oncorhynchus tshawytscha (Chinook salmon)
Lineage: Eukaryota; Metazoa; Chordata; Actinopteri; Salmoniformes; Salmonidae
Source: Ensembl